UGCAGUCGAACGAACCUUCGGGUUAGUGGCGGACGGGUGAGUAACGCGUGAGAAUCUGCCCUCAGGAGGGGGAUAACGACUGGAAACGGUCGCUAAUACCCCAUAUGCCGCGAGGUGAAAUGAAUUUCGCCUGAGGAUGAGCUCGCGUCUGAUUAGCUAGUUGGUGGGGUAAAGGCCUACCAAGGCAUCGAUCAGUAGCUGGUCUGAGAGGAUGAUCAGCCACACUGGGACUGAGACACGGCCCAGACUCCUACGGGAGGCAGCAGUGGGGAAUUUUCCGCAAUGGGCGCAAGCCUGACGGAGCAACGCCGCGUGAGGGAUGAAGGCCUCUGGGCUGUAAACCUCUUUUAUCAAGGAAGAAGAUCUGACGGUACUUGAUGAAUAAGCCACGGCUAAUUCCGUGCCAGCAGCCGCGGUAAUACGGGAGUGGCAAGCGUUAUCCGGAAUUAUUGGGCGUAAAGCGUCCGCAGGCGGUCUGUCAAGUCUGCUGUUAAAGCGUGGAGCUUAACUCCAUUUCGGCAGUGGAAACUGACAGACUAGAGUGUGGUAGGGGCAGAGGGAAUUCCCGGUG
RNAcentral lists this ribosomal RNA (571 nucleotides) under uncultured Cyanobium sp. RNAcentral's name for it is "bacterial SSU rRNA". It matches the Rfam family "Bacterial small subunit ribosomal RNA", at positions 56 to 675 of the family's 1533-position model. The record is from RNAcentral. Lineage: Bacteria; Bacillati; Cyanobacteriota; Cyanophyceae; Synechococcales; Prochlorococcaceae.